AACCUUCCAUUAUAAGUAUAAUGAAGUAUAAAAGUAACUAAAUGUUUUCAUAAAAUUCCCAAUCUUAGUUACUUAGGCAAAAGUGAAUUGAUGCAAUUCCAUGAAAUUACACUUUGUGCCCUUGCGAAGACGUUAGUGGAGCGUGUGUGGUUUACCGGCACACUAAAUGGUUCUAAGCAAAGGUAGCAAAGGGUGACUCAAUGUUUGUCAUAGUUCGGUGGAGCGUGUGUGGUUUACCGGCACAUCGAAUAGGUGACUGUAACAUGUGAGGGCACCAUGUAAGUUUGCAUGGUUAUUCACACCCGCUUUGUGAUCCUCGGCAUCCCAGUCACAAACAAGAGGGGCAUAUCGAGAUUUAAACAUGCCAUUGAAAUGUUCAAUGAAUCUCAAAGGAUCUAGGAGUUUUCAUAGAUUUAAAACUUAAAUUUCUUUUUCGUUUUUCAUGGUGGAAAUUAGUGAAUCGUCAUUCACUUACCUUCAAAUGUUCUGCAAUUUGGGUUACGGCAUCCCUCUCCCGAGUUGUAGAAUAUUGUGUUGGGUCCUAGCCUUAGUAUCUCAUUUGGGUGAUUUACUAAGGACUCAAUCAAUCAACUAACUUGAAUUCGUUUUCUCCCGUUUUGUAGAUGUCAAAGUUCGACAACUAUGGUCUUCCCAAAUCCCGUGGAACAAGCAUUCCACAUGAAGAUGAUAUUCCACGAUUCGAUCGAGGAACAAGAAAUCAUGCUUCACUUCCUCCACCUCCUCCAAUUAUUCUCCCUAACCCACAAGUUCAAAGGCUUGAAAAGUUCAAGAUCACUCAAGCCCUUUUGGCAAGUAAACAUAAAGAAGGAAAGUCGGUGUGUGCACACGUCCUAGGGAUGAAGUCACACAUUGAUAGGUUAAGAAUGUUGGGAUCCGUUGUCUGUGAGGAAAUGGCUGUUGAUUGGGUUCUUCAGUCACUUCCUAACUCAUAUAGUGAGUUCGUAAGAGAGUACUAUAUGAUGAACCGCGACGUGACCCUUAUAGAUCUCACCUAUAUGCUUAUUGCUGCUGAAUCAGCAAUGGUUUGGCGCAAUAGAAAAGCAAAGUUGAUUGGUGAAUCUGCCUUCAAGACCUCUAUGGAUAUAGACAAUGGCAACGAAAGACAUGCUAUGAUCGAAAAGUUUGAUCAUAAGAGAAAGGCAAUGUCUGAAGUAGUUCCAUGUCAUGUUCCAAAAGAGUCAAUUUGCUUUUAUUGCCAAGAGAAAGGGCAUUGGAGACGAAGCUGCCCCAUUUACCUAAGAGAUCUAAGAGAUGGGAGAGUCGAAACGUAUGGCUCUAAUAUAGGUAAAAUCCAUUAACUAACUCUUUUAAGCUUCUAUUCUAGAUUCUUAAUACAUAAUGUGAUAAGAUUACAAUUGAUGUUUUGUAGGAUCGAAGAAAAGAAAGGAAGCUUAAGGGAAGAAGUGAGCAGAAUCUAACCGUGAAGGAAUGGAUUUCGAUCGCAUUUCUCGAAGAUUAGAUUCUUGAGCUACUACUUAGAGUUAGAAUUAGAUUGCUAAGAAAGAUGUAUUAGCAUAAGUUUUUCAAUGAGUUGCAUUGUAAGGACAAAUUUUUCCGCAAUAAAAUAAAUUUUGAUUUUAAAUUUUAUUUAUUUAUCCUUACAAUGGCGUGUAUGAAAAAUUGAUGUUAAAAUGUUUCUAUUAUUAGCAAUAAUGGAUUUGGUUCUUAUUAUGUUAUUUAUGGAAAGUCGAGAAUUUACCAAAUAGGGAGAGUUUCUCAUCGCCCAAGUUUCAAUUGGACAGAAACUUGGAAUCAUGCAACUUGGUUGCACGAUGAAUGAGAAAUUUCAUAUUUGGAAAUUAGACUAAUUCAUUGACAAAGUGUCAAGUGAAGGACUAGGAGAUCGAGUACACAAAGUUGCGUGUUGAUCAAGUCCACCAUAAGAGUAACAAAGAUAUUCGUCAUGAUUUACUAAAGGUUUAGUAAAUAUGAUUAUACUUAUAAGAUUAAGUGUAAUUCUGAAUUGAUUGAAAAGGUUUAAAUCAAUAGCAGAACGAAUAAGAAGAAUCAAGUAGGCAGAAAGAUAAAAGUUUCUCCAUUCUAAGAAGAAGGGAGAGUACCUUUUAUGCUUUAUGAUAGGUCUUAAUGAUUAAGAACCAUAUCUCAAUUGAUCCUCUAAGUGAGUCUUAGUACAAUUGUAUGUCUAAGAAGAGGAAUCAAGAAUUGAAGAAAUGGUUAAAUCAAUAAGUCAAUCAUACUUCGUUCCAAAAACAAGUCUUAAAGUUAAGAUUGUGACAUUGAGUGAAAAGUAUUAAGAAGGUUUAUAACAUUCAUCAAAUGUGGAAAGUUGUGAUGUCUUGGAUAAGACAAAGACCAACUAGGACCAAUUUAUGAAGUGUUUUGAUAAAAGCUACACUAACUCUUGAAUAUUUGUUUGUCAAGAAAUGGUUAUUGACAAGAGAAUCUUAUAUGUCAAGGAGUCAGUGGGAGUCUUAAUGGUCUUGAAAGGUUUCAAGAACAAAUCAAAUAAACCUUAUCGAUCAUCACUAGCACACGAGUUGAGGUUUACAACCUAUCGUGUUGACAUUAUUUUGAUUCUGUGCCAAUCCAAUCGAGUUAAUUAUGCAUGUGAGUUCUAUGAGUUCUCAUUUUGAACGCAUAAAAGGCAAAGCACCUUAAUCAAUGAAAGGUACAUUGAUAGGAAAAGGUGAGCUGCUUAACUACUUGGAAGACAUGGUGGGCAGCUGUGCUACCAUAAGGCAAGAAAUCAAGAUUAAGAAAGUUCGGUCCAUAUGAGUUUGAAUUUGUCGUAAACUUUGGUUUUAACAAAUUCACAUGGAUAGGAACACAUACACCGUUUAAAUCUAAGUGUCAUAAGAUUUCCUCCUUCAUGAAAAUGAUUGUGAGGAAAUGCUUUCACUAAGAAAGAUUUUAAGAAGAUAGUGAUUGUAAAAUUGCAUUCUCGAAUUCAAUUAUGGUUACGGCAUCCCUUUCCAUAAUUUGAAUUGUGAGGUUUGGCAAUUAGUCUUAAUUGUUUAGACACACAUAUGAACUAUCGAAGGCAAAGGUGUAUAAGUUCAAGAAGCCUUGAUAAAAGAUUAUCAAAGCACUAAGUAUUAGAAACAUGAACUUAAGAAAUUCAAUAAGCAUUGUUUUUCUGAAAGUUAAGAUGUUUAUGAAUACAUGUCGAAGCUAGUGGGAGCAUAAGUGUUAAGUUUUAUAAUAAUCAUCAUGAUAGUGGGAGCAUAAAAGUUAUGAUUGUAUGAUUAUUAAGGAAAGUAUUGCAAGGUUAGCAAUAUUAAUUAUAGAAAACAAGAGUCAUACUUUGCAAAGUUGUAAGAGUUGAAAAGUUGUUUUGCUAUAAUUAAGGGAGAGAAUAUUAUGCUUCAUUUCAAAUCUAAAGGAUUAGGUUGAGAAAUGUUAAUAAAUUUAGUCAAAGGUACAUAGUGUGUUCUUAAAAUUUCGAUUAUGAUUACGGCAUCCCUCUUCACAAUUCGAAUUUUGAGAACAUAGCAAAUAAAACAUUAUGCGUCGUGUCCCAUACGCUUCGGGUAUAGGAUCGAUUGCAAAUGCUUUAAUGUUUGACCAUUCUAAAAUUUUCCAAAUGUCUAGCGCAUUUAGAGGGAAAAGGGACUAGAAUCGGUUUUGACUAAAAUAAUUAAACAACUAUCAAAGGACAAUCCAAAGUUCGACGAGGAUUGGUCGCUUGUGAGUAGUUGGAAGUAUAGUAUUGGAAAAUAUGGAAAUGUUUCCAUAUUGGAUGGACCAUAUCGACAUUAUUAUGAAUAGAUAAGAUUCUAUUAAGAAUGAGUUGUCAUAUGGAAAAUAUGGAAACGUGUCCAUAUUGGGAAUUGAAUAUUGAAAAUCUAUGUCUAGAUUAGAAACUUUUAUGCAAAAGGAUGUUCAAAGGAAUGUACUUUGAGUGAGAGACAUCAUAUCUAAGGAAUUGUAUUGUAACAAUCUCCGAUAGAGGACUUUGUAAUAUCAUUGGCAAUAGUCUUUGUGACUUUGGUGCAGUGACAUUACGAAAGGAUCAUUGCAUAAAAUGUUAGAAUCUAGCAUAUUCUAUAAGUAGCAAGAAUUUGAUAUUCUUUCACUUAUGAAAAAGGAUUUGGAGUUGUGAAAUGAGAAUGAUUGGAAAUGUGUUCAAUUUGAUCUAUUUCACAAAGUAAGAACCAUAGGUAAACAUUGUGUGCAUGCUAAGAGCAUGGGACAAGUGUAAUAAUUCAAGUAAGAAGUUGAUUACCCGAAACAACAAAUAAUGAGUAAUCGAUAUGGUGAUAAAUAAAAGGUGUUUUAUUUAUACUCAAAGGUUUGAGGCCAUAUGGGAUUAGUAUUAUUCUUGUGUUUCACUUUGCAUGUUUUGACUUCCUGAAUAAUUUAAUUGGUUAAGAACAGUCGAAUUAUUCGAACGGGCCACAGUCGUUCAUAUGUUGGAAGUAGGUAUGAAUGAAGACUGUCGUGAAUUGGUGUGUGGAUUGUCUAAAGAGUAUUAGACAUAAGCAAAUGUUUGCUGCAACGUUCAUGAGUGCUUAUGAAUAUGAUUUGAGCAUUGGAUUAAACCCACGCUCACUUGGAUCACUCCAUGAAUUGUAUCACGAGUGAUUGGUGAGACGAUAACAUCUUAUAUUCUUGAAACCGAGAUGUGUGAGUUGUAUCUUGCAAAUCGGUUGCACAUUGAUAAUAUGUAAACGCACCAGUAACUUGGUGUUAUAAAACAUAUUGUUGUGUGUGAUUCGGUGAGUGAGUGCAAGCGAGCAUUGAAUCAAAGUUUAUCCGUUCCUUUUAUCCAAAGUAGGAUAAAAGCGAUAUCUUUGGGCCCCUCGAUGAUUUAGUGAUGACAAACGUAAAUGCUCGGCCGGGCUAGGGCUAAUUUGAUUUGUUCAAUUAGUCAGUCGUCAUAAAUCGGAAGUCGAGAAAUAGUACAGAGAGAAUGAUUAGAAAUCAUGUCUCAUACGAUAUCUAGAAUGGAGGAAUAUAUGAUCCCUUAUCUAAAGGACACGCGUAUCUGAUAGGAUCAGAGUUGACAGCGGCUUUGGAAAGCUACGAUUGCAGAUCAGGAUCUGAAGUCAUACGCAGAAUAGUUAUUAGACUUAUCCAAGUGGGAGACUGUUGGAUUAGUGUCUAAGUCCAUAACUAUUUUGGUAUGUACUUGACCCGAUGGUGCAUGGUCCUUUUGGGUUGCCUUCACCAAAGCAACUUGAUAGGAUGAAUUAUGGAGAGAAAGGAUUAAAUAUGAUUUAUUAAUAUAUUAUGAGAAUAAUAUAUUAAAGGAGAAAUCAUAUUGUUUAAUUAAUAUUAGUCAAGAAUUAAUAAGAAUUAAGUUUGUGACUAAAAGAGAUUAAUUAAACUUAAGGGACUGGAAUUGUAAUUAUAAGAUAAUUGCAAUUGGGCUAUGGAUUGCCUUAUAUUAUAAGGUUGGACGAAUUCUAUGGGGAAACCCAUUAGAAAUCGUCCAAGGCCUUUAAGGAAAGGAGUCCAUGGGUUGCUUAGGGCUUAAGCAUCCAAAUUAGGGUUUCCUUGUUAGAUAACCCUAAUAGCCUCACUAUUUAAAGAGCCCUUAUGCCCCAAAAACGUGGACAAGCUUUCUUCUAGGGUUUCCACACGUUUUGGGCAGCCUCCUUCUCUUCUCUUCUUCAUCCUCUUGCUCUUGGUGUUUGUGAACCAUUAGAGGAGUGACAUUUGUGACUCUAAGCUUUCUAAAGUCAAUACAAGGAGGAUUUGAGAUUGUUAUUGCUACAUAACAAUCAAGGUAUGAUCUAAACCCUAAUUUAUAUGUUAUAUUGAUUAUCAUAUGCUAGAUCUAGGGUUUAUAGUCUUGGAUAAAUUGCAUGUACAAUAGAGAAACCUAGAUCCAAGCAUUAGGGUUUGUAUGAGCACAUAGGAUGUUCUUAUGACUAAAACCCAUCAGUGGUAUCAGAGCCUUGAUUGGUUUCUAUUGUAUUGAUGUCUUGUAUGUUUGUUCAAGUUGAAAAAUUCGAUUUUUGUGAAUCUGCCUGAUGAACUCGGCGAGUCCCAUUGUGGACUCGGCGAGUAGGCCCCUACUCGGCGAGUCCAUAGGGGUACUCGGCGAGUUCGAGCGUCAGAAAGAGGGGAUUUCGGGAUUUCUUGCUGUUUUACUCAUGGAUACUUGCCUUAUCUGUUUUAGAUCAUUAAAAUCCGAUUUUAUACAUAUUUAUGAGUAUAUCCUUGAUUAAACAAAAGAUAAUUACCAAUUGAUUAGAUAAUAACUUCCUUAUAUGAUAAAAUUUGAUUAUUUGUAUUAAUUGGGUAACUUAUUUUGCAAGAAAUUGAAAUUAGGUCAAAUAUAGAUAAUGAUGAAAUUAAUUGUUUAAUUUAUAUUAUUUGUUAUUUGAUCAUUGUGUUAUGAAAAGUUUCAAUUUUCCCCUUUAGGUUUUAUAGUUUAAAUUUGAACUCAAAAGUUUAGUUUUGAAAUUUAAAUAGUUGAAACCCUAAUGUUUUGAAAAAGGUUUCAAAACUUGCCCUCAAGUUUUGGAAUUUAAAUUUUGAUUAAUAGUUUAAUUUUGAUGUAUAUUUAAAUUCUAAACCCUAAUGUUUUGAAAUGUUUCAAAACUUGCCCUCAAGUUUUGGAAUUUAAAAGUUGAUUAAAAGUUUAAUUUAGGAAUGUUAAAUUCUAAAACCCUAAUAUUGUUUUGAAAAGUUCAACUCACACCCUUAUGGUUUUAUUAAUUAAUUAAGGUGUAUAAUUAAAAGAGGUUUAAUAAAUCCAUAAAAGUUUUGGUUUACAAUUUAAUUGAAUUAAAAGUAUAAUUAUUAAAUUGACCACAUAGUAUUUUAAAAGUGUAAAAUACACCCUAUGCUAUGUAUGAGUAAAAAGUCUGUCCAUUAUAUAUAUGUAUGAGUAAAAGUCAGUCUUACCGUUAGUAGGCCUCAUUCACGAAGCUGGUCUAUAAGGGGUGUUUAAGGAAAUUGCCUAUAAAAUGGCGAUUGAAUGGGUAUCCACUCUUACCCACCGCACUCUUGACUAGUGGAGGGUCGUUAGCCGAAUGGGUAGGAUAGGACAUAACUUUCCAUUAUAAGUAUAAUGAAGCACUAAAGUAACUAAAUGUUUUACAAAUUCCCAAUCUUAGAUACUUUAGGCAAAAGUGAAUUGAUGCAAUUCCAUGAAAUUACACUUUGUACCCUUGCAAAGACGUUAGUGGAGCGUGUGUGGUUUACCGGCACACUAAAUGGUUCUAAGCAAAGGUAGCAAAGGGUGACUCAAUGUUUGUCAUAGUUCGGUGGAGCGUGUGUGGUUUACCAGCACAUCGAAUAGGUGACUGUAACAUGUGGGGGCACCAUGUAAGUUUGCAUGGUUAUUCACACCCGCUUUGUGAUCCUCGGCAUCCCAGUCACAAACUAGAGGGGCAUAUCGAGAUUUAAAUAUGCCAUUGAAAAGUUCAAUAAAUCUCAAAGGAUCUAGGAGUUUUCAAUACAUUUCAAACUUAAUCGUUUUUCUGUUUUUCAUGGUGGAAAUUAGUGAAUCGU
RNAcentral lists this long non-coding RNA (7449 nucleotides) under Lactuca sativa (garden lettuce). RNAcentral's name for it is "long non-coding RNA (LSAT_LNC008976)". The record is from RNAcentral. Lineage: Eukaryota; Viridiplantae; Streptophyta; Magnoliopsida; Asterales; Asteraceae.